This 477-nucleotide ribosomal RNA is filed under the name uncultured bacterium. RNAcentral describes it as "bacterial SSU rRNA". It matches the Rfam family "Bacterial small subunit ribosomal RNA", at positions 365 to 832 of the family's 1533-position model. The record is from RNAcentral.
UUCGCAAUGCCCGAAAGGGUGACGAAGCGACGCCGCGUGCGGGAAGAAGGCCUUCGGGUUGUAAACCGCUGUCGGGAGUUAAGAAAUGUAAGGAUGUUAAUAGCAUCUUUGCUUGACUAAGGCUCCGGAGGAAGCCACGGCUAACUCUGUGCCAGCAGCCGCGGUAAUACAGAGGCGGCAAGCGUUGUUCGGAAUUAUUGGGCGUAAAGAGCACGUAGGCGGCUAUGUAAGUCGGUUAUGAAAGCCUUCCGCUCAACGGAAGAACAGCAUCCGAUACUGCAUGGCUUGAGUGCGGGAGGGGAGAGUGGAACUUCUGGUGGAGCGGUGAAAUGCGUAGAUAUCAGAAGGAACGCCGGCGGCGAAAGCGGCUCUCUGGCCCAUAACUGACGCUGAGUGUGCGAAAGCUAGGGGAGCAAACGGGAUUAGAUACCCCGGUAGUCCUAGCCGUAAACGAUGGGCACUAAGUAGAGGGGUUUU